This 797-nucleotide ribosomal RNA is filed under the name uncultured bacterium. RNAcentral describes it as "bacterial SSU rRNA". It matches the Rfam family "Bacterial small subunit ribosomal RNA", at positions 9 to 800 of the family's 1533-position model. The record is from RNAcentral.
GAGUUUGAUCCUGGCUCAGGAUGAACGCUAGCUACAGGCUUAACACAUGCAAGUCGAGGGGCAGCAUGGUCUAGCAAUAGACUGAUGGCGACCGGCGCACGGGUGAGUAACACGUAUCCAACCUGCCGAUUAUUCCGGGAUAGCCUUUCGAAAGAAAGAUUAAUACUGGAUAGCAUAACGAGAAGGCAUCUUCUUGUUAUUAAAGAAUUUCGAUAAUCGAUGGGGAUGCGUUCCAUUAGUUUGUUGGCGGGGUAACGGCCCACCAAGACAUCGAUGGAUAGGGGUUCUGAGAGGAAGGUCCCCCACAUUGGAACUGAGACACGGUCCAAACUCCUACGGGAGGCAGCAGUGAGGAAUAUUGGUCAAUGGACGAGAGUCUGAACCAGCCAAGUAGCGUGAAGGAUGACUGCCCUAUGGGUUGUAAACUUCUUUUAUAUGGGAAUAAAGUGAGCCACGUGUGGCUUUUUGUAUGUACCAUACGAAUAAGGAUCGGCUAACUCCGUGCCAGCAGCCGCGGUAAUACGGAGGAUCCGAGCGUUAUCCGGAUUUAUUGGGUUUAAAGGGAGCGUAGGCGGAUUAUUAAGUCAGUUGUGAAAGUUUGCGGCUCAACCGUNAAAUUGCAGUUGAUACUGGUAGUCUUGAGUGCAGCAGAAGUAGGCGGAAUUCGUGGUGUAGCGGUGAAAUGCUUAGAUAUCACGAAGAACUCCGAUUGCGAAGGCAGCUUACUGGACUGUAACUGACGCUGAUGCUCGAAAGUGUGGGUAUCAAACAGGAUUAGAUAACCUGGUAGUCCACAC